GACGUAGGGCGCGAGCGUUGUCCGGAUUUAUUGGGCGUAAAGAGCUCGUAGGCGGCUUGUUGCGUCGACCGUGAAAACCCGCGGCUCAACUGCGGGCUUGCGGUCGAUACGGGCGAGCUGGAGUUCGGUAGGGGAGACUGGAAUUCCUGGUGUAGCGGUGAAAUGCGCAGAUAUCAGGAGGAACACCGGUGGCGAAGGCGGGUCUCUGGGCCGAUACUGACGCUGAGGAGCGAAAGCAUGGGUAGCGAACAGG
RNAcentral lists this ribosomal RNA (253 nucleotides) under uncultured bacterium. RNAcentral describes it as "partial 16S ribosomal RNA". It matches the Rfam family "Bacterial small subunit ribosomal RNA", at positions 524 to 776 of the family's 1533-position model. The record is from RNAcentral.